This is a long non-coding RNA of Mytilus californianus (California mussel), 1478 nucleotides long. RefSeq lists it as uncharacterized. NCBI's taxonomy places the organism in Eukaryota, Metazoa, Mollusca, Bivalvia, Mytilida, Mytilidae. The transcript has 2 exons. The record is from RefSeq and is a predicted model, not a curated record.
AGCUGCGAUGGAGAGCAAUACACCAUAUCGCUAUUUCUCCGCCAUUACUGGACAUCACACAGGUUCCCGUAAAAUUUUGACGUCAUAAUACAAAAUAUCUGACGCCACAAUGGAAAAGUGAUUGUUGUAUGACGUCAAUAGUUCAAGCGGGACAGAUUCUCGGGUCAGUCGGGAAUAGUGAUAAGGUGUAUAGUAAGAAGCAAAUUGAAAACAAUGUUGUUACUUUAAUUUACAAAUAUCUCCAGCUUUAUAUUCAAUUUUAUCAAAAGAAUGUUGAAAGGCAAAAGACCAUUAUUAAUUUUAUAUUUCUAUCAACCAUAUAUUAUCUUUAAAUGAACUUGGGGAUUAAAACCAAUAAUCGUUGACUCUUCAUUGAGAAUCAGCAUUACUUCCUUACAAGGAAAAAUAUCCUACUUUAAAUUAUAACUUUAGAGUAAAAUUAAUGAUUUCAAAAAUGAGUUACUGGAAAGGGCUAUAGACAAGGAAUAAUUACCGUAAUUAUGUACAAAUAUUAAAAACCCAAUUAUUUAUUUAUUCUUCAAAUUCUUGUAUUUAUGUGCUCUGUGUGUGUGUUUAGAGGAGGGGGGGGGUAACAUACUUCAGACUAGUUUCAUAACAUUUUUCAUAGAAAAUCAUACUUUUUAUAAUCUUUUGGUGGAGGAUUGUCUCACUAGAAAUCAAGCAAUUAUCAUUUUGUAUUGAAAACCAAUAAUUCAUAGUUAGGUACUGGUCUAAUGAUCACUAAAGUGUAAAUAGUAAAAAUAAGAAAGUGUAUUUAUAAACAUACAACAAAUUUAAUGUCAAAACAUAAAAAAAAUCAGUCGAUAGCUGACAAACAGAAAGACAAAAUAUAAUUAUGUAACCACAUGCUGUAACAAGAAUAUGACAUAUUGUACAGACGCAUAGAAAAAAUAUACAUUUAAUAGAUUGUCGUGUGCCGGAGGAAUGUAUGUUAAAUUUUAUAUGCACUUGAUGAAUAUGAAAUGACAGUUUAGGUCAGUACUGAAUAUUCUUUAAAACUAUCUCAUAUUUGAAUGUUCCCUCUUUCCUUUGUAAAAUAGUUGCAGUAAUAGAUAGCCAUCAAAGAAUAUAAAAGAAAAAGAGAGAACUUAUUCUACAAAGAUACGGUAACCAAGGCACUUAUAAUAUUAAUACAAAAAGAGAUAUACAGACAAGAUUCCAAUAAAUAUCACAGCUAUAAAAUAUCACAGUUUAUAACACAAUAUAAAAACAUUCUUUUUAAAAUCUGAUAAUACUGUUAUAGACAAUAUACAUUUGAUGGACUGAAUGAAAUAAAAUUUGAGCAAAGCAAAAAAAAUGUAAUAUCUUAUCUAUUUCAAAAUGGAAAAUAUGAAAAAUACAUGAUUUUUGUACAAUAAAAAAAAAUCUCAAUCAUACAAGUGAAAAUGAUGGCAGUAUCAUUGAUGGAUAAUAUGCCAAAAUCCUUAGUUGAACAAAAAGUAAUGAUUGGGAAGAAA